Molecule: transfer RNA, 65 nt
Filed under: Protagonista lugubris
Lineage: Eukaryota; Metazoa; Arthropoda; Insecta; Blattodea; Blattidae
Description: tRNA-Glu
Rfam family: tRNA
About the family: Transfer RNA (tRNA) molecules are approximately 80 nucleotides in length. Their secondary structure includes four short double-helical elements and three loops (D, anti-codon, and T loops). Further hydrogen bonds mediate the characteristic L-shaped molecular structure. tRNAs have two regions of fundamental functional importance: the anti-codon, which is responsible for specific mRNA codon recognition, and the 3' end, to which the tRNAs corresponding amino acid is attached (by aminoacyl-tRNA synthetases). tRNAs cope with the degeneracy of the genetic code in two manners: having more than one tRNA (with a specific anti-codon) for a particular amino acid; and 'wobble' base-pairing, i.e. permitting non-standard base-pairing at the 3rd anti-codon position.
Source: RNAcentral
AUUUAUAUAGUUUAAUAUAAAACACUACAUUUUCAGCGUAGAAAUAAGGGAAUCUUUUAUAAAUA